Long non-coding RNA from Protobothrops mucrosquamatus (brown spotted pit viper), 180 nucleotides. RefSeq lists it as uncharacterized. The transcript has 3 exons. The record is from RefSeq and is a predicted model, not a curated record. Lineage: Eukaryota; Metazoa; Chordata; Lepidosauria; Squamata; Viperidae.
AGAAGAAAUUUAUCAUGAACAAUGGCCAGAUUAUGUAAAGCAACUAAGAACACGAUAUUCAGAAACUACAAUUGAUGCACUGGAAAUGAUGGAUGAUGAUAAAAUUGAUCUUGAUUUGAUAGCAGCAUUAAUCAGAUAUAUUGCUCUUGAAGAAGAGGAAGGCGCAAUUCUAGUAUUUCU